Molecule: ribosomal RNA, 507 nt
Filed under: uncultured bacterium
Lineage: Bacteria
Description: partial 16S ribosomal RNA
Rfam family: Bacterial small subunit ribosomal RNA
Source: RNAcentral
ACGAACGCUGGCGGCGUGCCUAAUACAUGCCAGUCGAACGCUUCUUUCCUCCCGAGUGCUUGCACUCAAUUGGAAAGAGGAGUGGCGGACGGGUGAGUAACACGUGGGUAACCUACCCAUCAGAGGGGGAUAACACUUGGAAACAGGUGCUAAUACCGCAUAACAGUUUAUGCCGCAUGGCAUAAGAGUGAAAGGCGCUUUCGGGUGUCGUUGAUGGAUGGACCCGCGGUGCAUUAGCUAGUUGGUGAGGUAACGGCUCACCAAGGCCACGAUGCAUAGCCGACCUGAGAGGGUGAUCGGCCACACUGGGACUGAGACACGGCCCAGACUCCUACGGGAGGCAGCAGUAGGGAAUCUUCGGCAAUGGACGAAAGUCUGACCGAGCAACGCCGCGUGAGUGAAGAAGGUUUUCGGAUCGUAAAACUCUGUUGUUAGAGAAGAACAAGGACGUUAGUAACUGAACGUCCCCUGACGGUAUCUAACCAGAAAGCCACGGCUAACUACGUG